RNAcentral lists this ribosomal RNA (443 nucleotides) under uncultured bacterium. RNAcentral's name for it is "partial 16S ribosomal RNA". It matches the Rfam family "Bacterial small subunit ribosomal RNA", at positions 338 to 795 of the family's 1533-position model. The record is from RNAcentral.
CCUACGGGUGGCAGCAGUGGGGGAUAUUGGACAAUGGGGGGAACCCUGAUCCAGCGACGCCGCGUGAGUGAAGAAGCAUUUCGGUAUGUAAAGCUCUGUCAGCAGGGAAGAAAGCAAUGACGGUACCUGAACAAGAAGCCCCGGCCAACUACGUGCCAGCAGCCGCGGUACUACGUAGGGGGCAAGCGUUAUCCGGAAUUACUGGGUGUAAAGGGAGCGUAGACGGCUGUGCAAGUCUGGAGUGAAAGGCGGGGGCCCAACCCCCGGACUGCUCUGGAAACUGUGUGGCUGGAGUGCAGGAGAGGUAAGCGGAAUUCCGAGUGUAGCGGUGAAAUGCGUAGAUAUUAGGAGGAACACCAGUGGCGAAGGCGGCUUACUGGACUGUAACUGACGUUGAGGCUCGAAAGCGUGGGGAGCAAACAGGAUUAGAUACCCGGGUAGUC